Molecule: non-coding RNA, 606 nt
Organism: Rattus norvegicus (Norway rat)
Lineage: Eukaryota; Metazoa; Chordata; Mammalia; Rodentia; Muridae
Source: RefSeq, a predicted model, not a curated record
AAAAUAGGAUGUGAAACCAGACAGGAUCUGAUGACUGGGGACCUGAAAGAGAGAAGAAAUCCUUGAGACAGUGGAGCGAUCCAGCCAAGUUCUGUUUGGAAGGAAAAGACAGAUUGAUGAAAGCUGUCUGUCCCAGAGAGAGAAUGGGUUUCCCCUAUUGCCAGAAGAGAGGCAUAAUUUCUAAAAGCCUGACUGUGGCCUCCAGCUAAGGGGCUUCUCAUUUACACAAGCACACCUCGGAUAUCGGAGCCAUGAGUCCCACAUCAGCAUCCACCCAGAGUCAACACUAAGACCCGCUCGCCAGCUAGGUCAUUCGAUCCUUGUGCUAUUCAAAAGAGAAGCUGGAACAAUUUCUUCCCCCCAGAAAUGAACUUUUUUUUUUCCGGAGCUGGGGACCGAACCCAGGGCCUUACGCUUGCUAGGCAAGCGCUUUACCACUGAGCUAAAUCCCCAACCCCUAGAAAUGAACUAUUUUUAGGACAGGAACACCUUGCUGGGGAGCCUGAACACAAAGAAGGUAAGCUGUGGAAAGAACUGGAACGAAGACCCUGUGGAGCUUGAACAGAGAAAACUACUUUAAAGAUGCUUAAAGAGAAGGGGACCCAG